UCAUCUGCAAAGUAUAAAGAG
Molecule: unclassified non-coding RNA, 21 nt
Filed under: Dictyostelium discoideum
Lineage: Eukaryota; Evosea; Eumycetozoa; Dictyosteliales; Dictyosteliaceae
Source: RNAcentral